Long non-coding RNA from Capra hircus (goat), 1101 nucleotides. RefSeq lists it as uncharacterized. The transcript is spliced from 3 exons. Lineage: Eukaryota; Metazoa; Chordata; Mammalia; Artiodactyla; Bovidae. The record is from RefSeq and is a predicted model, not a curated record.
CAGCAGUACUUUUGAGCUCAUCAACGUCAUCAAGGAAGAGGCCUUGACAAGGGACGGCCCCACAUUGUGCAUGAUGAGUAUGGCGCGGUUUCAGCAGGAAUGCUGUGUGCUCUUACCACCUUGUCCCAGCAACUGGAGAAUGAAAAUGCCGUGGAUGUUUUCCAGGUUGCAAAAAUGAUCAAUCUGAUGAGGCCUGGAGUAUUUACAGACAUUGAACAGUACCAGUUUGUCUACAAAGCGAUGCUCAGCUUGGUCAGCACUAAAGAGAAUGGAAAUGGCCCCAUGACAGUGGACAGAAACGGCGCCGCUCUCACCGCGGACGAGUCGGACCCUGCCGAGAGCAUGGAGUCGCUGGUGUGACUGGAAUCGUGAAAGAAUGCUUCAUUUGUAAACCUUCUGAAGACUGAGAACUUUCUUGAGGCCUUUUUUUUGCCAGACUCUAGGUCUAGGUUAUAUGAUAACCCAGUUACUUUUUUACACUGAUAAAAGUUUUGAUAUUUAUUUUUUGCCAUUUUAUGUCUUAAUGGUAUCCUACUGAGCAUUUGCACCUCUGUUCAUUUCCCACAGUGAAACACGGUUUUACCUAGUUUGCACUGCCUGAUCAGUGUUACUGCCUAUAAUCUGAUACUACAGCAAACCCUGACAUGACAUUCCACGACACCAUACAUGCUACUUUUUAAUUCAGUAUAGUGAAGGUCUUUGUUAUGACAGUGACUCUUGAUUUUUUUUUUUCAGUUAUUACUCUUGCUAAAGCAGCUGCAUCCUCCUAGCAGGCAAUGCUGUCCUCUUCCUCAGUCCUCUCCUAUUUUUUAAGGCACUGCUCAGUACUUCUGUAUGCCUUCUGUGUUUUAAUGGAGUGGAUGAGCGCUGUUUUCUUUUUAAAGAAUAGUGGCGGCGGGGGGCUCCUCUGAAGGCCUGUCCAUGUCAUGGCCUUGAGAGAGUCCCAUUUGUGAUGGUGAAGGUGUCCAUUAAGAAACAAGAAGGUUGAAGAGUCAUCUGAUGUGAACAUCACUUCCUAGUUUCAAAGUUAUAUUCCUAGCUUUAAAAAAUGCCCAACUGUGUCAAAAUAAAGGAUAUCUCUGUAUUACAGUUUUCACAGUA